Molecule: transfer RNA, 67 nt
Filed under: Pantoea anthophila
Lineage: Bacteria; Pseudomonadati; Pseudomonadota; Gammaproteobacteria; Enterobacterales; Erwiniaceae
Rfam family: tRNA (bases 4-63)
About the family: Transfer RNA (tRNA) molecules are approximately 80 nucleotides in length. Their secondary structure includes four short double-helical elements and three loops (D, anti-codon, and T loops).
Source: RNAcentral
UGAUUAGCUCAGUUGGUAGAGCAGUUGACUUUUAAUCAAUUGGUCGCAGGUUCGAAUCCUGCACGAC